GUUUUGUGUCCAGCUUUCCCUGACAAAGAGAAGCGAAGUUGCUAGUAUAGACUUAGAGCCUGACACCCCUCCCUCCUGGCACAGUCUUAAACCCAGUUCCUUUUGUAAAAGGAUAUAAAAGUAUAAUUUCCAGGCACCAAGAUACAACAAAGGAAAUUUCAAACCGAGGCACCAAAUCAUCAUGUGAAAAAUUUUAAAAACUAGUUUCUGACCCCCUCAGCCAGAUCAAGAAUAUAAAAGAGGGUCAUAGUAUGGAGGAGAGGGAGGAUUCUGCGAGGAAGAAAUGUAUGGAGAAAACUGCUGUUAGCCCCAUCCCCUCCCUCCCAAGGAAGGAGAGAGGCGCCUACUCCCUUACAGCAAACCCAGUGAGAUGCCUGCACGGGUUACCCGAAGAGCUGAGAAUGUGGCCCCCAGCAUUGGGAACAGAGUGUUCUGGAGUC
This 440-nucleotide long non-coding RNA is filed under the name Homo sapiens (human). Its description in RNAcentral is "non-protein coding lnc-PPP1R1A-3:1". Lineage: Eukaryota; Metazoa; Chordata; Mammalia; Primates; Hominidae. The record is from RNAcentral.